AGUGAACGCUGGCGGUAGGCCUAACACAUGCAAGUCGAACGGCAGCACAGUAAGAGCUUGCUCUUACGGGUGGCGAGUGGCGGACGGGUGAGGAAUACAUCGGAAUCUACUUUUUCGUGGGGGCUAACGUAGGGAAACUUACGCUAAUACCGCAUACGACCUACGGGUGAAAGCAGGGGAUCUUCGGACCUUGCGCGAUUGAAUGAGCCGAUGUCGGAUUAGCUAGUUGGCGGGGUAAAGGCCCACCAAGGCGACGAUCCGUAGCUGGUCUGAGAGGAUGAUCAGCCACACGGGAAGUGAGACACGGUCCAGACUCCUACGGUAGGCAGCAGUGGGGAAUAUUGGACAAUGGGCGCAAGCCUGAUCCAGCCAUACCGCGUGGGUGAAGAAGGCCUUCGGGUUGUAAAGCCCUUUUGUUGGGAAAGAAAAGCAGCAGGUUAAUACCCCACUGCUCUGACGGUACCCAAAGAAUAAGCACCGGCUAACUUCGUG
RNAcentral lists this ribosomal RNA (492 nucleotides) under uncultured bacterium. Its description in RNAcentral is "partial 16S ribosomal RNA". It matches the Rfam family "Bacterial small subunit ribosomal RNA", at positions 29 to 507 of the family's 1533-position model. The record is from RNAcentral.